RNAcentral lists this ribosomal RNA (426 nucleotides) under uncultured bacterium. RNAcentral describes it as "bacterial SSU rRNA". It matches the Rfam family "Bacterial small subunit ribosomal RNA", at positions 355 to 796 of the family's 1533-position model. The record is from RNAcentral.
CCGAGAAUAUUCGACAAUGGGCGAAAGCCUGAUCGAGCGACGCCGCGUGGAAGAUGAAGUCCUUCGGGAUGUAAAUUCCUUUUGUAGUCCAGAAAGUUUAUUGAUCGGACUAAGAAUAAGAGGUUGCUAAACUCGUGCCAGCAGCAGCGGUAAUACGAGUGCCUCGAGCGUUAUCCGGAAUUAUUGGGCGUAAAGGGUGUGUAGGCGGUUAUGUUAGUCUCCUGUCAAAUUCUUCGGCUUAACCGGGGGUCCGCAGGGGAAACGGCAUAACUUGAGGAUGCGAGAGGUCUAUGGAACUCAUAGUGUAGGGGUGAAAUCCGUUGAUAUUAUGGGGAACACCAAAAGCGAAGGCAAUAGACUGGCGCACUCCUGACGCUGAAACACGAAAGCGUGGGUAGCGAAUGGGAUUAGAUACCCCCGUAGUCC